GAUGAACGCUGGCGGCGUGCCUAACACAUGCAAGUCGAGCGAACGGACGAGAAGCUUGCGUCUCUGAUGUUAGCGGCGGACGGGGGAGUAACACGUGGAUAACCUACCUAUAAGACUGGGAUAACUUCGGGAAACCGGAGCCAAUACCGGAUAAUAUUUUGAACGGCAUGGUUCAAGAGUGAAAGAGGGUCUUGCUGUCACUGAGAGAUGGAUCCGUGCUGCAUUAGCUAGUUGGUAAGGUAACGGCUUACCAAGGCAACGAUGCAUAGCCGACCUGAGAGGGUGAUCGGCCGCACUGGAACUGAGACACGGUCCAGACUCCUACGGGAGGCAGCAGUAGGGAAUCUUCCGCAAUGGGCGAAAGCCUGACGGAGCAACGCCGCGUGAGUGAUGAAGGUCUUCGGAUCGUAAAACUCUGUUAUUAGGGAAGAACAUAUGUGUAAGUAACUGUGCACAUCUUGACGGUACCUAAUCAGAAAGCCACGGCUAACUACGUG
This 497-nucleotide ribosomal RNA is filed under the name uncultured bacterium. RNAcentral describes it as "partial 16S ribosomal RNA". It matches the Rfam family "Bacterial small subunit ribosomal RNA", at positions 28 to 507 of the family's 1533-position model. The record is from RNAcentral.